Molecule: long non-coding RNA, 2472 nt
Filed under: Androctonus crassicauda
Lineage: Eukaryota; Metazoa; Arthropoda; Arachnida; Scorpiones; Buthidae
Source: RNAcentral
GAUUAAUAAAAUUUGUCUAGUGAAUGUGGUUUCUGUUAAUAUAAAUUUUCCUAGAAUUAAAAUUUCUUAAUUCUAAUAAUUAAUUUUAUUGGAUGCUGUUUAGGCUGAAAUCCAAGAAACUCACAAGAAAUCCAAGUUUGCUUUUAAAUUUUAUCUAUGUAAUUCUUCAAAAUGAAAUUACAAAAUUUUAAAAUAUAUUUCCCUGUUUCUGAAAAGAUAUUUUGGCAAAAUUUCAAAAUUUAUAGUAGAUACUGUGAUUCAGUUCAGUGGAUUUCUUUAGGUAAUGCAGUGUUACAAUGUAUAGUCCACAAAAUGGAGUUAAAACAACAUAUUUACAAAGAAUGAAUUUUAUCUAUUUUUAUAAAUGAUUUAUUUUUUAAAAAAUGAAUAUAGCAAUCCACUAAGGACACAUUAGAUAGGUGAUUAUGAAAAUUAUGCAUGAUUUAAGAAACUGCAUAAGAAAUUAUUCAUAUAUCAGGUUUUAUCUGAAUAAACUUUUCCCCUGUUUACUUAGAUCAGCUGAAGUAACUACUCUAGACAGACAAAUUUAGCUCAGAACUAGGCUCCAUCUUUGGCAUUGUUUCUGAGCAAGUGAAUGCAUUAGUCUUGCCAAAAAUUCUUUUACUAUUCAUUGAAAAUAUUUCUUCUAAAUAUAACUUUUAUACCGAUUAUUAAGAAAUGGCAAUAAUUAAACAGCCUACUUCCUAGAAGUUACUGUUAUGGACUUAAAUUCACUUGGCAUCACCAGCAAAAUGCUUGUUGCUAAGUCUGCACAGACAUAUAGAUAAAUUGUUCCUGUACACUCUUUAUGGUAUUAAAUGGAACAUUAAUUUGUAGAAAUCUUGAUUUAUAACAGGGGUGAAAUUCCGGAAUUCACCUCCCCUUCGCCUAAAUUUAAACCCUCGAUGUUCAUUUUCCCUCUGCAUUUUCCUGGUGUAAAAACUUCCCUGUGGGAUGUAAUUGGCUUAAAAAAAAGGGGGGCAAUCAAGCAAGAACAUUUUCCCCUUCGUUGGUACAUCACCUAGAAACGAGCCUAGUCGCCCAGACAUCCGGUUUUGUUGUAUCUUAUACGUAUAUAAUUUUUUUUUUGCUUUUUUUACACAAUUAUCAUUAUAUGAUCAAAACUGGCACAAGUGCGUGGGUUAUCUGUAUCUCCACCCCAUUUUGACUACACACUUCCUUAAUGUUGCAUCGCAACAUUGGAGAACGUUAUCGAACAACGAUCUUACAACGAGUUUAAUUCACUUUAAGUCCCUUUCGUUUGAGCUUUUACAUUUUCAAAAAUCCGGUCCGUAUUUGGGUCAAGUGUAAUUUCGUGUGGCGAGAGACGUCACGAUACGGAAUAAGCAAAAAAGGGUUUCGGUAUCCCGUAUCGCAGGUGUUUCGGUAAUAAUAAUAUGGCGUGUUUCUGAGGACACUGACACGUAUUUAUGCACUAACACAGACGGCAAGAUGUUUGCAUUACAAUUGCCGACGUAACGUGCUACCUCACAUACGCAUCGGUGUGUGUGUACCUUACACGAGUUCAAAAUCCGUUUCCAGUUAAUACGAUUUUUUCGCGUUCGGAGACGAAGAAUCUCGAAUGUCAGUUAUUGACAUUAUUCUCCGAAACCCUUUGGCAAUUUUAUUGGAUGCUUUCCCAGAAAGACCUUGAAUUGUUCAUUCUCUGUUCUGCUUUCCUUUUCCUCGUAUUUGAACUGCCGUAUUGCUGGGGGGUUUUUUUUAAUUGUGUUUGUCAGAAUCGAGUUUUUGGUCACACGUUGCGUUUAGAAAAAACAAGAAAAUGUCAAUGGACACGAUGAAUGUGGCGAAAGCACUCCUGUCUCAAAAUGUAGCGGUGGAGGGGUUCGAUAAAGGAAGUUCAACACCUGCUUCGACACCAGUGUCAAUGGCCUGCUGGUGUAUUAUAAACUUCAAAUCGUCCUAUUCUAUCACGCAAAUGAUACAAGAUUGCGAGAUUUUGUUAGUAAAUAAAUAUGGCAGCAGCGAAUUCUAAAUGCUUUUCUUGUUUUGCCUCCGUUUCGGUCUACAACACAGGAGUUUUUUUUUUCCCUUAGACAGGAAGCGCAAUCGAAGGAAGAUGGGAGGAGGCCAAUGACAAAUUUCCCAAAGGUUGCACUUAGGCAACUCGUGACACACGAGGUCGAUAACGCUCGGAGGUGCGACGCGUGCGAUUUUCAGGAACACUGAACUUGUUUCUGCACAUCUUUCUCUCCAGCCGACGGUUCAUCGGAGGUUAUUAAAAAUAAACCAGGUGAUCGAGUGCUCGUCUAUGUAGGAAACAUUUUUCCUCCACCAGAUUAGUUUUAAAUGUUAAUUCUUUUUUUUUCCAUUAGCGAUGUAGGAGGCCCCGUAUGGGUAUGCUGUGUUUCAUAUCUAGAAAAAUAUUUGUACUACUUCGAUCACUUCGUAGAUAAAAAAAAAAAAAAAAAAAAACUCGAAAUUCGUGCCCGGCAACAGAUAAAAUCCACC